Molecule: transfer RNA, 109 nt
Filed under: Nanobdellota archaeon
Lineage: Archaea; Nanobdellati; Nanobdellota
Description: tRNA-Glu
Source: RNAcentral
GCCCCGGUAGUGUAGUCCGGAGAUGAUUCAUCAAUUAAUCGAAUUGUCGGACAACCAAUCAUAAAGCCCUCUCGAGGCUUUGACCCGGGUUCAAAUCCCGGCCGGGGCA